This is a long non-coding RNA of Orcinus orca (killer whale), 1127 nucleotides long. RefSeq lists it as uncharacterized. The transcript has 3 exons. NCBI's taxonomy places the organism in Eukaryota, Metazoa, Chordata, Mammalia, Artiodactyla, Delphinidae. The record is from RefSeq and is a predicted model, not a curated record.
AGCAUAAGCGGGUGGCCGAGUGGAUGGGCAGGCGGAGGCCCGCAGACACACUCAAAGACCUCCCUGGACUUUCUGGCCUCCCGCUUCUAUUCUGCUGGGGGCUGGGGUGAGCAAGUGAAAGGAUGCCUGCCACGCUGAACCGGGUUCAGACCUCGAGUCAAAAACCCUGGUAACCACCAUUUUACUUUCCAUCUCAAUGAAUUUGACGAUUCUCAGUAUCUCUUGAUCCUUCUCGAAGAAGCCCAUUUUCCAUGAAAUUCUGGAAAUGAACUGCUGAAUCUUUACUGAAAACCUACUUCAGUCACAGCCCAGCAAAUAAAGAUGAGCUCAUACCUCCUAACAUUGUAAGACGACUUGAUUUUUCUACCACUGGUCGUUCUUGAACACCAACAUUCAAUUCAAGCCUAUAUCCGGCAUCUCAGUCCUCAAGCUCCACGGUUGAUUAAACUCCCUGAUUAGCUUCCAGAAGGGAAAUGGGAUAUUCCCCAAGAUUCAAGUUCCAUUCAUAGCCAUCUAGUCAGCAGGUAGCGACUCCCUACCACAAAGUACAUGCAUCGAGAACAAGACCAUAUGACUUUCAAAAGCAAUAAGCAGUAUUACAAAAAUUGACAAUAAAUCACCCCCAAGAACAAUGAUAAAUUCCAGAAUAGGCACCUCUGUUUUCUGAUGAAAAAUGACCAAAUACAUGAGCUACUGGCAAAUAAAGAAUGAGGUGUCUUAAGACAGUGGAAAUUCCAUAAGUGUAAAUGUGAUGACAAUUUUUUUUCUAUAUAGGAAAAGAAUUGAAGAUUUCAAGAAAGGAGAACCACAGAUUUUACCAGGAAAAGGAAAAUGAGGUUCCCCAGUGUGGGGGAAGAUUUUAGAUCUACAGUGGUCAAAAAAGAAAGGUCAUUAAUCUUCCCUACUCGGUGGCUGCCAAGGGAUUCAUCAGCGCAGAUCAGCAUGUGUCCUGGGUGAAUGGGGAGAGAAUAGGCCUAUUGUUGUCACCUACUCACAAUAGGAAAGAGCCUAGAAGCCAUGUCAUGAGGGGAGACCACUCAUGACAUGGUUCAGCUCCACCAGCGCACUUUUAGGUUAACGUUUGGUUCUUUAAGAGAGACCCUCCCCAGUCCAAGCAGGGACAUCAU